AUCCAGAUGACGAGUCCCAAAUAGGAUGAAAUGUGCGUCCUGGAU
Schistosoma mansoni is the source of this 45-nucleotide non-coding RNA. NCBI's taxonomy places the organism in Eukaryota, Metazoa, Platyhelminthes, Trematoda, Strigeidida, Schistosomatidae. The record is from Rfam.